RNAcentral lists this ribosomal RNA (429 nucleotides) under uncultured prokaryote. RNAcentral describes it as "bacterial SSU rRNA". It matches the Rfam family "Bacterial small subunit ribosomal RNA", at positions 355 to 776 of the family's 1533-position model. The record is from RNAcentral. RNAcentral also lists the same sequence under 1 other name.
UAGGGAGUUUUCGGCAAUGGGGGAAACCCUGACCGAGCAACGCCGCGUGAACGAUGAAGGUCUUCGGAUUGUAAAGUUCUGUUGUAAGGGAGUAAUGGCUUCGAGAAUAGAAUGCUCGAGGUUUGAAAGUACCUUACCAGAAAGCCACGGCUAACUACGUGCCAGCAGCCGCGGUAAUACGUAGGUGGCAAGCGUUAUCCGGAAUUAUUGGGCGUAAAGAGUGAGCAGGCGGUCGUUUAAGUCUGAAGUCAAAUGCUGUGGCUCAACCACAGUUCGCUUUGGAAACUGGACGACUAGAGUACGAGAGAAGUAAGCGGAAUUCCAUGUGUAGCGGUGAAAUGCGUAGAUAUAUGGAGGAACACCAGUGGCGAAGGCGGCUUACUAGAUCGAUACUGACGCUCAGUCACGAAAGCGUGGGUAGCAAAUAGG